UGCAAGCGUUAUCCGGAUUUAUUGGGUUUAAAGGGUGCGCAGGCGGACCUGUCAGUCAGUGGUGAAAACCCGGGGCUCAACUCCGGAACUGCCAUUGAUACUGCAGGCCUUGAAUCCGGUUGAAGUGGGCGGAAUGUGUCAUGUAGCGGUGAAAUGCAUAGAUAUGACACAGAACACCGAUCGCGAAGGCAGCUCACUAAGCCGGCAUUGACGCUCAUGCACGAAAGCGUGGGGAGCGAACAGGAUUAGAUACCCUGGUAGUCCACGCAGUAAACGAUGAUCACUCGUUGUUGGCGAUACACAGUCAGCGA
This 311-nucleotide ribosomal RNA is filed under the name uncultured bacterium. RNAcentral describes it as "bacterial SSU rRNA". It matches the Rfam family "Bacterial small subunit ribosomal RNA", at positions 533 to 846 of the family's 1533-position model. The record is from RNAcentral.